RNAcentral lists this ribosomal RNA (275 nucleotides) under uncultured bacterium. Its description in RNAcentral is "partial 16S ribosomal RNA". It matches the Rfam family "Bacterial small subunit ribosomal RNA", at positions 338 to 605 of the family's 1533-position model. The record is from RNAcentral.
CCUACGGGGGGCUGCAGUAGGGAAUUUUCGGCAAUGGGCGCAAGCCUGACCGAGCAACGCCGCGUGAGUGAAGAAGGCCUUCGGGUUGUAAAGCUCUGUUGUAAGGGAAGAAUGGCCAAGAGAGGGAAUGCUCUUGGAGUGACGGUACCUUACCAGAAAGCCACGGCUAACUACGUGCCAGCAGCCGCGGUAAUACGUAGGUGGCAAGCGUUAUCCGGAAUUAUUGGGCGUAAAGGGAGCGUAGGCGGUUUGAUAAGUCUGAGGUGAAAGUUCGG